This 459-nucleotide ribosomal RNA is filed under the name uncultured bacterium. RNAcentral's name for it is "partial 16S ribosomal RNA". It matches the Rfam family "Bacterial small subunit ribosomal RNA", at positions 338 to 795 of the family's 1533-position model. The record is from RNAcentral.
CCUACGGGGGGCUGCAGUGAGGAAUAUUGGUCAAUGGGCGUAAGCCUGAACCAGCCAAGUCGCGUGAGGGAUGACGGCCCUAUGGAUCGUAAACCUCUUUUAUAAGGGAAUAAAGUGCGGGACGUGUCCCGCUUUGUAUGUACCUUAUGAAUAAGGACCGGCUAACUCCGUGCCAGCAGCCGCGGUAAUACGGAGGAGCCGAGCGUUAUCCGGAUUUAUUGGGUUUAAGGGGUGCGUAGGCGGCCUUUAGGUCAGCGGGGAAAGUCUUGGGCUAAACCAUAGAAUUGCCGUGGAAACUGGGAGGCUUGAGUACGUUUGGGGCAGGCGGAAUGCGUGGUGUAGCGGUGAAAUGCUUAGAUAUCACGCAGAACCCCGAUUGCGAAGGCAGCCUGCCAAGCCGUAACUGACGCUGAUGCACGAAAGCGUGGGGAUCGAACAGGAUUAGAUACCCGUGUAGUC